AGUCAUUUCCUUUUUACCUUACCUCCCUCACACUCGAGUAUAUACCAAAGCUUAAGUGUACAUGAAAAGAAGCAUCUGUAGAAUAUAGAAUAUCAAGCGCUUCUGAUCAAUUGAAAUGUAAUCACAAUUUACAUUAAACAUUUAGCAUUUGUGUAAUCACAAACGUUAAUUUCUACAGGUUUUAUGCUGUAAUAUGUUAUAAGUUACGGAAUGACUCCCAGAUGUAGUUCUUCAAAGCAGAAGCAAUAGCCUUCACUUGUACAGGUGGAUGCCGGCUGUUUCAUAAACAACAGUAAAUACAUGUGUAAAUACAUGUUCCUUUUGAGAAAAUGAUUGAGAAAACGUCAUCGUUGGCUGAUGGUACUGUUGACAUGAAAAGAGUUGUUAGGAAUGUGAGCGAGACACAGGAUGCACGUGUUCAGAGAAUGCGGUGUGGAGAACAUCUCCCACACAAAGCUGUUUUCCUCCAUCUGCACUGUAAAAACCUCCGCAGGGAGCUGUUGAGCGACAAGUUGCCUAACAUCUUUUGGUGCAGGAUUUAUUGAAAUAAACAACCACGCGGGCACCAAUGCCCCCCAUUGCCCCGGAACCGUCCCUUUGGGGUUUCGGGACCCUGCCCCCCCCCCCCCCCCCCGAGCCUCCCCCACAUCCCCUCAGGAAGAGGCGGGAAGGAGGAGCCUCAGCGAAGUCUCGCGAGAGUUCCCCGCGGGCGGCGGUGCCUUCCCCCGCUCUCGCGAUCGCCGCCGCCUUUCGGUUCCGUGAGGCGCGGCGGCAGCAUGCCUUCCCGGCUGAGGAAGACGAGGAAGCUGCGGGGACACGUCAGCCACGGGCACGGCCGCAUCGGUAAGCGGGGGGCCGGGUGCGGGGCCUGCACGGGCCUGGCGAGCAGCUCUGAGGGCCGCGGGGGGGCUGCGCCGCGGGGGGUGCCCCAAAUGCUGCGCUAAAAUGUCGCCCGUCCCUUUCGGACGGGGUUUGUGAGUUACCUCGGGUAGUAUUUGGGCGGUAGGUGCCGUCUGAGAACGUGGCUGGGCGACAUUUUGAGCUUGCAGGCGGAUGCUGUGCCACUUUAAACUCUGGCCCUUCCUGCCUGUGCUUGUCAGCUCGCUUGUGCUACCACUGGUGUCUUCUCAUACUUACGCGUGCUAAAGGCAGGUUUUUUUUCUUCUUCUUGUCUAGGGUUAGUCUUUAGUUGGCUUAGCUCGCUGAAUUGAUAUAAAUGCAGAAGGAUAGGAUUACUAUCGUGAGAUUAAUUAGCUUAAGUUGACUCUGU
This 1270-nucleotide long non-coding RNA is filed under the name Anas platyrhynchos platyrhynchos (common mallard). RNAcentral's name for it is "lncRNA (ENSAPLG00000018213.1)". The record is from RNAcentral. Lineage: Eukaryota; Metazoa; Chordata; Aves; Anseriformes; Anatidae.